Molecule: non-coding RNA, 984 nt
Organism: Myodes glareolus (Bank vole)
Lineage: Eukaryota; Metazoa; Chordata; Mammalia; Rodentia; Cricetidae
Source: RefSeq, a predicted model, not a curated record
GGAGAGCGAUGCUUCUCGCUCUACUGUCUCGGCCCCCGGUCUGGUGCGGGACACGUUAGCCCAAAUGACCUGCCUGGGGCACUGCAGCACGUUUGGCCACUCUGGUCAUGGGGCAGGCGCCAGUACGGUGCGAAACCCGAGCCACUCUCCCGCCCUCUCGCCUUGUAGGGCUGCGAGACAGCACCUGCUAGCCCCACUCCCUCUCCCCGGAUCAUCCUGCCGAGAGUGGGCUGCAGGCUGCUGGCCAAGUAACUGCGGGGGCAAGGCUUUGGGUAAGGGGUAAAAAAAAAUAAAAAAUAAAAAGUUUGGCGACUGCCUAUGUGAAUGCAUCAGCGUUGGAAGAAAGCCAGCGCCGGAUGCCCGACUUGGCCUCUGAGGGAUCAUAUCCAACCCCUAGCAGGGAUCUGUCCCUGUCGGCUAGCUCACAGAGUCCCAGAAUUGGGACUGGCGGCGAUGUCUCUCUUAGAGGAGAGCAUUGAGGCGCGGAUAGGGUUAACCUCGCGACGCCCGGGCAGGGGGAGGAGGGGGCGGGGCCGAAGGAGGGGAUCCCCGGCGUCCGGGGAGGAGCCCGCUCGGGUUUCCCGGGUCCCCCUGGCGGGGGCGGAGGGCUUUCCCCACUAGCGCCAGCUCACAUUUGCUCGUUCUCCGGAACAUGAGGGGCUAGCGCCCCUGGCCGCCGGGUCCGGGGCUCGGGCGCUCAGGCAGUCCAGCAGCCUGAGUGGACCUGCAGCACAGACACAAAGCAAAGGCGGGUCACUAAUGCGCAGACGCCAAGCAUCUUCCUUGUCGUGACCAGACUGCAGCGGCUGGGCGAGGGGGCUGGUGAAGGUUGAUUGAUGCUGGUAGCCAUCUAACUGCCAAUUAAUGCCCUGGUGGUGAUUCGACUGAAUAAUCGCUGCCCUUGGACAUGGAGUUUCACUAGACUUAGAUAUAAUGAAUAAUUAUACUCUCUAAUAAACCAGUAAAGUUGCACUUUGAAUUUUG